Molecule: non-coding RNA, 171 nt
Filed under: bovine gut metagenome
Source: RNAcentral
GAUUUGGUCGCCUCAUAGGCGUGUGAAAGGGAAUCAGGUGCAAGUCCUGAACAGUCCCGCUGCUGUGAGCUUAAUAAUUUGCCAAUCAAUAUUAUAGUCACUGUAUAUCGCCAUAGAUAUAUGGGAAGGCUGAGCGGCAAAAAGCAAGUCAGAAUACCUGCCAAAUCUGAA